Molecule: unclassified non-coding RNA, 400 nt
Filed under: Acanthaster planci (crown-of-thorns starfish)
Lineage: Eukaryota; Metazoa; Echinodermata; Asteroidea; Valvatida; Acanthasteridae
Description: semaphorin-5A-like, transcript variant X2
Source: RNAcentral
UACAAGGUUAUUACGCACGUGUGUAAAUGUGCACACACUGCACUCCCAAGUCUAUAAAAGUGUCGUGGAUGGACAAUUCCAGCAGUGAGAAAAGAGAGACCAGUGGAAGAGAACGUGGGAUUAUUGAAAGUGUCAACCGUCGAAGCAGAUUCGGGACUAUAACGCUGCUGUCAGCUCUUCGAAAUCCGAUUCCGGCCUCAGAUCUACAAGCAGGAGAAAAUGGUUUCUUUGGCGAUGUCCUCGCUGUUUUCGCUGACCAUGUGCGUGCUUCUGGUAUCCGUGACUUCAAAUCCAGUGACGUCACAACCAGGUCAAUGGUCCAGCUGGGGCGAAUGGAGCCUUUGUUCUGCCACCAAGUGCGGAGAUGCUGGCUAUAAGUAUCGGGAAAGACAAUGUGUGG